Molecule: long non-coding RNA, 1602 nt
Organism: Helianthus annuus (common sunflower)
Lineage: Eukaryota; Viridiplantae; Streptophyta; Magnoliopsida; Asterales; Asteraceae
Exons: 6
Source: RefSeq, a predicted model, not a curated record
UUUUUUCUCAUUCUUCUUUCACAACCCUAAAGAAACAUAGUUGCAGCUCUCUCUGCCUCCUAUCGCCACCGCCAAGAUCCCUCCUCAGUUCCACAAAAUCUCACCUAUCGACAAUCAUACACUCGAUCUAAGAUCUCUGUUACCUAUCAAUCAAGAUUGUUGUUUUUCAGCCCAAUUCCAAGCACAGCCAGGUACCACUGAAGAGUUGGUCGCCACGAGAAAUAUGGAAUAUUUAAAAGCAACUAUUGCAGUUAGAUGUGUUUGGAUGGCUUCAUCAACAAAUAAGGGUGAUGUGCAAUUUUGCAUUAGCCUUAAAAUGGGUGGAAACUGGGACGGAAUGCCCCAGCCGUCGCAUCCAGUAAUUACGGCUAGGGUUGCGACCAGUUGAUCUGGAGCCAGCUCAGUUGACAGAUUCAAACAUUUAAAUGCGAUUUUUAGUCGAGUACUAAAUGUAAUCAGAUAACAAUUGAACCCCUCCAACUUUCAGGUACUUCAGAUGGUUCAAACAGUUAGUUGGUAUUUCAGCUUCAUGAUAUUUUUUAGUCCAGUACUAAAUGCUUCGAGGAAUUUCAAUGCUAAGUAAAUUGGCAAAAUGGGUGAAUUUUUGUGUAUGUCAAAACGGGUCGGGUUAGACUGGGUAAUCCAUAAUUUAUUUAAAUUUAUUUAUACACACUCAGUGAAUCAAUUAUGUGUUAAUAAAACUACACAAAGUCAGUAAUAAUCUAAAUUAUGAAAGAUGAUUGAGGUAAGUUUGUAGGUCUUUCGACUCAUUUCUUUUUAGUUAACCUUUUACUUGACCCAUUGACCCGUUACAGAUAAUCACAAUCCGAACUGACCCAUUCAUAAGUAAAUUUGUGGUAUGCAGAUUGCUCUGGGUAAUAUAUUGAAGUUCCGAAAGAAAAACUGGCAGUUCGAUAUUAUUGGUGGUUUCAUAUACUUCAUCUUAACCUUUUCAAUGUUCCCACUGGUUAUCACUCAUUAUGUGAAUGGUAUAGAAAUGUGGAAAGUGAACAUUUUCCGGACCCCACAGAUCUAAAGGCGCGUAUAGAGCAAUGGACUUUCGGUCUUUAUCCCACUUGUAUUAAGUAUCUUAUGCCAACUUUGGAUGUUCCAGAGGUUCAAAUUAUUUUUUAGUUAUUUUAACUUUCAGGGUUAAAUUUCUAUCCUAACAGCAAAGAUUAUACUCAUGCUAUAGUGCUACAGUUUCGAUCAUGUGAGUGUAUUCCAAGCUCUUUGACUUGCCGACUUAUUGCUUUUGCGCCUUUUGUAGCUGACAGUUUUUUACAACUGAUGCCUUAAUUAUUGUUACCUUUAUUUUUACAAAGUCAGUAUAGAUAUCCUUUCACCACUGACCUACCUAGAACAUAUCUAUAUAGAACAUUCAGCCCUAAAUUGUUCAUCCAGUUUAGACUCCAAGAAGAGCAGAUCAAGUUUUAUUCAAAAAGGUAUGCGACUAGACAUUUUUCAAUCUUCAAAGUUCCGGUUAGGUUUACUAGAUUAUUGUAUUAUGUUUAUAUCGGAAUUGAACAUUUGUACUUGGUUAUUAAGGUUGUAUUUGAUUCGAUUUUGUUUUAUUAGGCCAUUUGAUUAUGGUUUGUUUGU